GACGAACGCUGGCGGCGUGCUUAACACAUGCAAGUCGAACGGAAAGGCCUCUUUCGGGGGGUACUCGAGUGGCGAACGGGUGAGUAACACGUGAGUAACCUGCCCUUGACUUUGGGAUAACUUCAGGAAACUGGGGCUAAUACCGGAUAGGAGCUCCUGCUGCAUGGUGGGGGUUGGAAAGUUUCGGCGGUUGGGGAUGGACUCGCGGCUUAUCAGCUUGUUGGUGGGGUAGUGGCUUACCAAGGCUUUGACGGGUAGCCGGCCUGAGAGGGUGACCGGCCACAUUGGGACUGAGAUACGGCCCAGACUCCUACGGGAGGCAGCAGUGGGGAAUAUUGCACAAUGGGUGCAAGCCUGAUGCAGCGACGCCGCGUGAGGGAUGGAGGCCUUCGGGUUGUAAACCUCUUUCGCCAGUGAAGCAGGCCUGCUCCUUGUGGGUGGGUUGACGGUAGCUGGAGAAGAAGCGCCGGCUAACUACGUG
RNAcentral lists this ribosomal RNA (481 nucleotides) under uncultured bacterium. Its description in RNAcentral is "partial 16S ribosomal RNA". It matches the Rfam family "Bacterial small subunit ribosomal RNA", at positions 28 to 507 of the family's 1533-position model. The record is from RNAcentral.